RNAcentral lists this long non-coding RNA (491 nucleotides) under Solanum tuberosum (potato). RNAcentral describes it as "long non-coding RNA (STUB_LNC000866)". The record is from RNAcentral. Lineage: Eukaryota; Viridiplantae; Streptophyta; Magnoliopsida; Solanales; Solanaceae.
CAAGAAGAUUGAGUCGAUUGUCUCCGCCAGAUGCCUAGUCUCCUCCGUUUCUCUUUUCCUUUCAUUGCCCUCGAUAGGUGAACAACGACAAAAUUUUAAGAGAUUUCUGUAUGUCGGCGACAAACAAAGAGAAAAUCAUGAAUGGAGCUAAAAGAGCUUCGAUUUGGAAUUUUCGUUUCUCAAAAGAUAGUGAAAAACAUAGAAGUAUUUUGAAAUCAUUCUUCAAUUGUUUUGUGAAAAAUCAUGACUUUGUGUUUUGAUUCAACAAAUACCUGUUAAUUUUGGAGAAAAUCCCUUGAAAAGUUCCAGAUCUAGGGCAAAUAGAAUCUCUUUUAGAGACUUGAAAAGAUUUUUUUAUUGUUUAUGAAUUUUUUUUUUUGACCAAAUAAAAAUGGGAGGGAGAGUGAAUUUUGUUGGAGGGAAUAUAAUAUUUUAGCCAAAAUUAUAAGGCCACACUUGGUAAGUGUUGUUUUUAUAAUUAUAAAAAUAGC